UACAGAGGUCUCAACCGUUGUUCGGAUUCAUUGGGCGUAAAGGGUGCGUAGGCGGUCGCGUAAGUCAGGUGUGAAAUCUCAGGGCUCAACCCUGAAACUGCACUUGAUACUGCGUGGCUCGGGUACUGGAGAGGAGACUGGAAUUUACGGUGUAGCAGUGAAAUGCGUAGAUAUCUGGGGGAAGGCCGGCGGCGAAGGCGCCAUUCUGGGAAUUUCCUGACACUGAGGCGCGAAAGCGUGGGGAGCAAACAGG
Molecule: ribosomal RNA, 253 nt
Filed under: uncultured bacterium
Lineage: Bacteria
Description: partial 16S ribosomal RNA
Rfam family: Bacterial small subunit ribosomal RNA
Source: RNAcentral